AAAGUUGCAAAGCACUUUGAAGAGAGAGUUAAAGAGGACGUGAAACCGGUGAGGUGGAAACUGAUAGAGUCGGCGUAUCAUUCAAGUAUUCAGUUACAUUAUUUUUAUGUUGUAAACUCUGAGCUCCAGAUUGGGACAGAGUGAAGCAGCAUAAUUUUUUGUGGUGCAUUUACUUGAUUGGUGCUUGGGGAUGUUUGAGGCAGAUUUGUUUCCGUCGUUUUGAGGCCAGCUUGCUGGUACCCAAACGGUGUUAGCAUUUUUUGUCUUAGACAUUUGAGUAUGGCUUACGGACAUUUAUUGGUUCGAGCUGAGUGUAGGUUACGGUCGCGUGCGACACGUGCUUUUCGUUUAGAUCGGUCCAGUUUAUGCCCCCGUACUCCUUCCCCAUGUAACAUCCGGUCAUCUAUCCGACCCGUCUUGAAACACGGACCAAGGAGUUUAUCGUGUGCGCAAGUUUUUGGGUGUUAAAAACCUAAAAGCGAAAUGAAAGUAAAUGGCUCUUUAGAGUCUGAUGUGCGAUCUAGUAAAAAAGAACAGCAUGGCCCCAUUCUAACUGUUUACAGUAGGGUGGCGGAAGAGCGUACGCGGUGAGACCCGAAAGAUGGUGAACUAUUCCUGAGCAGGACGAAGCCAGAGGAAACUCUGGUGGAAGUCCGAAGCGGUUCUGACGUGCAAAUCGAUCGUCUGACUGGGUAU
Molecule: ribosomal RNA, 696 nt
Filed under: Meloidogyne haplanaria
Lineage: Eukaryota; Metazoa; Nematoda; Chromadorea; Rhabditida; Meloidogynidae
Description: partial large subunit ribosomal RNA
Rfam family: Eukaryotic large subunit ribosomal RNA
Source: RNAcentral